GGCGGGAUAGCUCAGUUGGUAGAGCAGGGGACUGAAAAUCCCCGUGUCCUCGGUUCGAUUCCGAGUCUCGCCACCA
Molecule: transfer RNA, 76 nt
Filed under: Kiritimatiellaceae bacterium
Lineage: Bacteria; Pseudomonadati; Kiritimatiellota; Kiritimatiellia; Kiritimatiellales; Kiritimatiellaceae
Also listed under: 2 other names
Description: tRNA-Phe
Rfam family: tRNA
About the family: Transfer RNA (tRNA) molecules are approximately 80 nucleotides in length. Their secondary structure includes four short double-helical elements and three loops (D, anti-codon, and T loops).
Source: RNAcentral